Molecule: non-coding RNA, 500 nt
Organism: Neolamprologus brichardi
Lineage: Eukaryota; Metazoa; Chordata; Actinopteri; Cichliformes; Cichlidae
Source: RefSeq, a predicted model, not a curated record
CAGGAUCAAGCUUCACUGUGCCCCUAAAGCAUGAGUUGAAGGAAUCAGAUAACCUGAAAUGGUUCAAGGACGCAAGUGUAGUCUUUAGUCGCAGACGGAAACUGGUGAUCUCAGGGAAAAAUGAUGAUGUUGAUUCAACUGGAUCACUAAAGCUGACAAAACUGACCAAAGACAUGUCAGGACGAUACAGACCAGAGGUUUACAGUGCAGAUGGAGUAAAUGUGGGGAAAAAUUUACAGAGUGUGCAUUUGUGUGUAUUAGACCGUGUGCAGAAGCCCACUGUGACGACAAAGACGUGUACAGAUAAUGGACAUGUCCAUUUUACUUGCAGUGUUGGUCAGAAUGAGACGAUCACAUGGUUAAUGGAUGGUGAAAUGUUGGAAGAAAAAGGGAAGACGCUGACCAGAGUAGCCAAAGAUGUGCUAAACGCUAAUUUCUCUUGCAAUGUUUCCAACCCGGUGAGCUCUGAGGUCAGUCCGCCUGUUCAACAAAACUGCUAU